Molecule: long non-coding RNA, 1191 nt
Organism: Catharus ustulatus (Swainson's thrush)
Lineage: Eukaryota; Metazoa; Chordata; Aves; Passeriformes; Turdidae
Exons: 6
Source: RefSeq, a predicted model, not a curated record
UGACCUGCACAGAUCCUGUUGCUUAUCUCCUGUGGGAGGAAGAAAACAUCUUCACCCAGCAGUGAGGCUGGAGUGACCACCUGUGUGUGGACAUGGACUUUUCAGAGCAGGACAGGGCUUUGCUGCUGCUGUUUGUCAUGAUGUGCAAAGCUGUCCCACCAGAGAUGGGAUCUUCUUGUGUGAGGCAUGCACAGAGGAGAGCUGGAUGGAGAGGAUCAGUCAGGAGGCUAAGGAGAGGCAUGAAAGAAAGCCUCUGCAGCAGGAUGGAGUGGCAGAAAGGCUGCUUUUCCUCAAGGGAUCUGUGAAAUGAGAUGAUCCUGCUGUCAUUUCUGCAGCAGACCCUGGUCUCCUCCAUGCUACCUCUUGUCUGAGCUGAGGGCUUCUCCCACAUGGAGAAAGAAGCUGCAAAAUCACUGGUAAAUCCAUUCUUCUUCAUGCCUUGUCUAUCCUUGCUAAGAGACAGCGUGAGACAUUCCCAUGACCCCACGACUUGGGUGAACCACAGGAUCAUUUUCUCAUGGUGGCUUUAAAAAUGGAAGGCUUUACCUUCCUUUGCUUCAGCCUUUCAGUGAUCCUUUGAGAUCCUAUAUGUGCUUGUGAUCAUUCCUGAGCCCUAAGCUGCAACUUCUAAAGCACUACCAGCAGCAACCCCAACAAAAUAAUGGAUGACCGAGAGCAGAAGGAAGCACUGUGGGCUCACAAAGUGAAGAACUGAAUGUGUAGCUGGCUUCUAAGGAAGGAGGUGCACAGGAGGGGCCUGGAGUAUUCGGACACUGAGCUGCAUUCAAUGGUAUCUCCCUAGAACUUUCUGGAGAAGUCAAAUGAAAAGCCAGGCCCAGUGUAGUGUUUUCUACAGAAGGAUCAUGAUGUUCAACAUUUGCCAUCGUAUUUCCCUUCUUAUGGGUAGAACAAGAAGGAAAAUUAGAAAGAAAACGCUGAAAAUGUAAAGUCUCUUAAUGACUUGCUUCUCCUUGGAGUCCACACACAAUCUUCAGGGCAUCACCUCCACCUGUGGGCCUCUCCUUCCUCUGCUUACCACCACAGCUGCCUGGUGGACUGUUGAGCUGUUAACUCAGGGCAUUGUCCCCACCUGGAGAUGACAUUUGUUGACAUCUUGUUGGAACAAGCUGAGGAUAUCCUUGGGAGGAGAUGUUGAAGCAUGAGGGGACAGCCAAGCUAGGACUUCAAUGG